Molecule: RNA transcript, 4174 nt
Organism: Tachysurus vachellii
Lineage: Eukaryota; Metazoa; Chordata; Actinopteri; Siluriformes; Bagridae
Gene: epc1b
Gene name: enhancer of polycomb homolog 1 (Drosophila) b
Exons: 15
Source: RefSeq, a predicted model, not a curated record
ACUGUUCUGGGAUCAGGAGGAUGGGCCGUGAAGCGCGAAUAGACUCUUAAAAAGAGUUUUUAAUGUCCGCCAUGUUGUUCAUGGUGAACUGAACCAGAGAAAGGGACCGUUGCCGUUAGGAAAAGUAGACAGAGAGAGAGCGAAUAAGACCCGGGCCUUUGGGUUUCGCUCGCAACACCAUAAUUAUACCUACCACAAAUCGAAACGUAGACUCCGGGAUCCCGAAAUAAAACCUUUCAUGACAUCUGUGUUGAUAUCAAUGGUUACCAUUAGGAGACCGGACACAUUUAUUCUGCAUCUCGUUUUAUUUAAAAAAUGAGCAAAUUGUCGUUUCGGGCACGAGCGCUGGACGCGUCCAAGCCUCUCCCCGUGUUCCGCUGUGAGGAUCUACCUGACCUACACGAAUAUGUGUCUAUUAACCGGGCUGUGCCACAGAUGCCAACCGGGAUGGAGAAAGAAGAGGAAUCGGAGCAUCAUUUGCAGCGGGCAAUCUCGGCACAACAGGUGUAUGGGGAGAAGAAGGACAGCAUGGUAAUUCCUGUUCCUGCCGCUGAGAGCAACAUCACUUACUAUGAGAGACUCUAUCCAGGUGACUUUAAGAUGCCGAAGCAACUAAUCCACAUACAGCCCUUUAGCUUGGACACAGAGCAACCAGAUUAUGACCUGGAUUCAGAAGAUGAAGUGUUCGUUACCAGACUAAGAAAGAAAAUGGAGGUGGGGGCUCUACAGUUUGAGGAGAUGCUCGAUCGGCUGGAGAAAGGCAGUGGGCAGCAGUUGGUGACUUUGCAAGGGGCAAAACUCCUUCUCAAGCAGGAUGAUGAGUUAAUCAUGGAGGUGUUUGAGUAUUGGAGCAAGAAAAGAAAAUCAUGUCAAAGUGGCUCUCUAAUUCCAUCUGUAAAACAGGAGAAGCGAGAUGGUUCAAGCACCAAUGACCCCUAUGUUGCUUUCAGGCGUAGGACUGAAAAAAUGCAGACCAGGAAGAAUCGUAAGAAUGAUGAGGUUUCAUAUGAGAAGAUGUUAAAGUUAAGAAGAGAUCUAAGUAGAGCCGUUACCAUACUGGAAAUGAUAAAGAGACGAGAGAAGAGCAAGAGAGAAUUGUUGCACCUCACACUGGAGAUCGUGGAGAAGAGGAAUUGUAUGGCUGAUUUUGGGGGUGAGGUUUUGGCAGAGGUUCUGGCACAGCAGGCAUUAGAGAAGACCAUUAUUCCCCUAAUCCCCAUCACCACCAGCAGCCAGUACAGACAUACAGAACAUGACAGUGACUACAAGAACAAGGUGGACAAGCAAGAAGUGGUACGUCAGAAGAAGAAGCAUGAGAAAAAGCCGAAAACCAUGCUGCUAUCUGGUCACCCUAUCCCUGCUUCAGUCAGCAAUAAAGCCCUUAACCAGUAUGAUUUCCCUAGCUCGGAGGAAGAGCCCAGCUCUCAGCUAUUUUCUGGCUCGUCAGAAGCAGAGGAGGAGAAUGAACCUGAUGGUGUGUUUGCAUUUAGACGCAGGUCUGGCUGCCACUAUCAAUCCGUGUGUGGAGAGCAGGAUUCAUGGCCAUGGUCAGAUCCUGUUGAGGCUGGUUUGGGAGACGCUCGCUACCGUUACUCUCUCACCACACUCACCUUACCUCAUCGAUGUGUGGGUUUAGCACGACGAAGAGUUGGAAGAGGGGGCAGGAUUCUCUUGGACCGGGCUUAUUGUGACUGGGAUGCUGUGUAUCAUGAGUUGGACUUAGGUUGUCCCAUCUCCUCAUUUAUCCACCAGUCUGUUAGUACCAGUUGUCAUACCAUUAUCCGGACCUCUGCCUCGGUUCCUUCUUUCUCCUACUCUUCUACAUACUCAUCAGACCUCUCACAAGUCCUCCAUAAUAUUAAGACCUGUCGCUGGAGGCACUUCAAACCUUGGACAGCCCUGACCCAUGACCUCAGUAACCUCCGAUCCUGCUCAGCACAGAAGCUGAGCUUUGGCCGCUACGGUCCAGCCAGAAAUCAAGCCAACAUCAGACCAGCUGUCCCUCCAGCCACACCUGUGUUUACAGCUGAGCAGUAUCAUGACCAUCAGGAGCAACUAGCCUUGAUGAAAAGAGAGCAGCUGGAGCAGGUACAGCAACAGCACCGAGUCAAUGCCAGGACACCGACCUUAGACUCUUUAACUGCACAGUUUGCUGCCUCUGCACUGGUGACUUCGGAACAGCUGAUGGCAAUGAAGUGUAAAGAGGAAGGUAUUCUGGGUGUUGGAAUCAAUGGAGUUAUAUCAGCUUCAGCAGGAUUCUGUAAGGGCUUACAUCACACAAGAACAACAUCCAACAGCCCCAUACCUACCUCUAACAAUCGCCAGUGCAACUCCCCUAUCUCCGGCUCCAACAAUGGGACUUCCUCAUCUAAUCACCAUGUUGGCUCAGUCAGCUCUGUCCCUGCACAGGUGCUGUUAGCUGGGGCAAUGAAAGUGGGUGUGCCAUCACCAGGUGCAGCAUUAAGUGUACGGCAUCUUCACCGUCAGCUCACAGUUCCAUCUUCUGCCCUAAAACUGGCUGCGAAUGUCAGCAGGCAGCUCCCUAAAGUCACGACCGGCUCCACUUCACUUGACAUGGGCACUAGAUCACUCUCUUGAGUUUCACCUGUUUUCCCUGUGUCUGCAUGGGCUUCCCUCCAGGAUCUCCAGUUUCCUACACCACACAAAAGCAUACGGGGAAAAUCACGAUCAAGAGAAGUCAACAUUGAACAAUAUAACAGAAAACACUGUAGCAAUGGAGGUUACGUAGCCCCCUCUUUUUUCAUCUCCCCAUGAUUUGGGUAUCCAAGCUAGGUGCUGUGCAUCAGUGAGAGUGUGUCUACGGCAGCUGUUGGGACUAUACUGCAGUGGUUGCCACUUAAUGUUUUGUUACAGUCAUCUGUAAAUUAUGAAAUAAGCAUUUAUUCUAUGUACACAUUUGUUAUAUGGCCCUUUGUACAUAACAUUUACUUGAAUACAAAAAUUGUUCAGUUAUGUUUUGCACUUUUGGGUGAGGUGGGGGGUGGGGCGACCUCUCGGAGUGAAUGGUGGUGUCUAUGUUCAUAUGGUGAUGUGAGAUCAGAUGUAAACCUGGUGUUGUAUCUAUUUAUUGUGAGGUGUUUACAGGAAAUGUAGCUUGUUUUUUUGUACUGUGUGACCUCUUGGGGGCUCUGAGUGGGUGUCUGUGUGUCUAACAAUAUUAUGUGGUAGUUUUCUUGUGAAAAGAUGCAUUUUUUCUGUUUGUUCUGUUCCCUUGUUCUACAAUCCACCCAUUUCAUGGUCAUUUGUGUGAAAGAUUGAUUGCUUGCAUGUAGACAAACACAUACAUAGAUUCAUUGUCUGCUUUAAUAAGAAUACCUGUACACAUGCUCAUUUAUAUAUCUAAUCAGCCAAGCUUGUGAGUGCAAGAGCUUCAGUUCAUGAUAACCAUGUGAAUAGGGAAAAGGAGGAUCUUUGUGACUAUAACCAUGGCAUGAAGCUAAAUUUGCUGGAGUAUUUCAGAAAAAAUAUGUCCUAGUUUUUACACACAACAGCUUCUAGUGUCAAGUCAAGUCAAGAAGCUUUUAUUGUCAUUUGAAAUAAGACGUUUCUCCAGGACCAUGGUGCUACAUAGAACAAAGACAGAGCUAAGGACUUAGUAAGUAGUCCUAGCCACAUAAAGUGCAUCUGUGUAGAUUUACAGCCAAAGGUAACAUUGGGUUCCAUUCCUAUCAACCAAGAACAACAAUUUGAGAUUUUCAAGGGCACAGACUCACCCAAACUGUACAGUUCAAGAUUAAGGUGAAUGAAAUCCUGGUCUUUUGCCAAUAUUUUGUAGUCUAAUUUGGGUGAGCCCGACAUGGUUUGCUAAGGUUGGUGUGGAAGAACUAAAGUUGCCCUGACCGCAACCCCACAGAACACCUUUGGGACUCCCCAAACCACACGAAAUGUAAGCCAGCCCUCCUGGUCCAACAUAAGUGUUCUAAAAAUCUCACUGGUGUUUAGUGGUGAUCAGGGUCUGUGCAGGCCAAUUGAGUUUCUCCAGUUGCCGAUUUGUAUAAAGGAACAGGACAGGGCCUUCCCCAACUUAAGUUGGAAACAUUUUACUUUAUAUGCUGUUGCAUAAGCAUCCAACUACAACCCCAAAAAACAACCCCAAAUACAUAUACAAUUUGACCUUAGCUUCAGCUUAGCUUAGCUGCCAGUUUGAUGUUUC